CGCUCGCGUCCCUGAAUCUCCGGCCCGGGGUGCUGCGGAAAACGGCCCUGUCAUUAGAGCUGUGCAGAGAAAAGACUGGCAGCCAGAUGUGGACAACCUGCUGGCCGCCCCGCCCCACCCCGCCCCGUCACCUCCAUCCACCCUGCCACUUUUUGCGGGGAAAUAGCCUGGCUUCCUGAGCACUGUGUAAAAGCAGGGCAAAAAGCCUUCUGAGUGCUCUGAAAGGACACGGUAAGGUAAUGCAGCCUCGGUUUGCUGAACUCUAAAGGUCUGCGGGCCACGCUUGUUUGGGUCACCCGGUUUGGCUCAUCAAGGAGGGAUCACGGUGCCGGCUCUGGCCCUGCCUUGAAAUUUCUGCUCUUCUUUUUGGGUCCGGUGGUAUGCGGAAAGUCAUUUAAAGAAGUGCUUGCGGGGCUCAAGCCUAAAUUCAGGGUGGCAGCAGAUGGAUAGCACGGACUCCGGGGAGCUUGGCUUCAAUCUUGAUAUGAAAUAUUGCAGCCAGCAGCCACAGUGCUGACCACCCCUGCUAACGCAAGCACUCUUCCUAGACGUGCACCGAAGUCAUGCCCUGAUCCCCCUUCCUGCUCCCAGCGUGGUCAGUUCUCUGAAAAGGUGACUGUCACAGUGCAGUCCCUUUGCUCUGUAUCUUGUUUGGCUUUUUCCAACCACCAACUUUGGCGCCUAAUCGAAAACUACACUCCUUCAUUCCUUCAUUCCUUCACUGCUGUCUUAAGGCAAACAUAAAGAUCAGGGUGUACUUCCAGCCCAUGAGGUCACGAAUCUGGGCAUAAAUCAAAGAACAAAGACACUUGCUUUAUUAUGCGUUAUUAUUUGUCCACUUAAAGUUCUCGCAGUUCUUGGUAUGACCUUUUAAGAUUCACUUCUUGCCAAAAGUAACCAAAGGUCCAAAACCUAUAAAUCAGUCUGCUUCAAGAAACUCGUUCCUAACGCUCUGUUUUCGCAAUCUUUAUGCAGGGAUACUUUGGUUCAUUGUGAAGAAUUUAACUCCCCCCCCCUUUUUUUGUCUGUGCCCCCUCCCCUUUUAAACCAAAUGGAUGCAGAAUGAAAUUAAGGUGACUAGGUGACUGGGAUACAAUCACCAAGACUUUGGUUUGGAAGGACCGUGAGUGACCACUGGGACAUGCUCCACUCAAUACAAUUAUCCCAUUUUUUAGAAUAAUUUCCAGCCCUUGCUCCACCAAGUGUUUAGCACAUGCAAGGCUUUCAUUCUGUUUUGUUUUGACAGCACUUUUAGAAAACUUUCCUUUAUAUUGAGCCCAAAUCUUUCUCUCCUUAACUUUGACCCAAAUGCCACAAUCUGAGCUCUGAGGCAACGCAAGUGAGGUCUACUCAUGCAGCUGUGGCAACAGGUAGGUGGUGUGUGCUUGAUCAGUCUCCUGGCUGUGUGAAUGUGACCAGGGUGGAGAUGGUUUGCUUGGUGGGAGGCAGUUUCUCUAUGGUUCUGCUCUUGGUCUCAGUUUGUCCCAAUGAGUUGCUUUGGGUUCACUAGUGGGUUAAUUUAGAAACGAAGUUUGGGAAGCACCUUCCUAACCAUUUCCUUAUCAUCUUCCCAGACAUUCAAACCAGUCACCUUUAAGGAGCAAAUGUCUUCUCUUCUUUUGUGUGAUUUGCCAUAAAGUGCUUUAGUUUCCUGCCCCCUGGCACAUUUCUACUGUUACUUCAGUGCCAUAUUUCUUUCUGAACCAUCUAUUUCCGAUCCAAUUUGCUAUUUAGAAAACAUAAAUCAUUAGCUGGCACAUUCCAUGUGGAGUUGCCUAAAAUUAAACAUCGCACAAAGUUUGUACCACAUUUUUUGGCUUUGUUUAACGGUCUCUUUGUUUGCUGUAUCUUGCUCUUGGUAGGUACUCACUAAAUUUGUUAAUGAUUUCUUGUUUUUACUAGACAAGAACCUGGCUUACUUUUGACUGGGAAAAAAAAAAGUUGAGUAUUGUGACCUUUAGGACUCAG
RNAcentral lists this long non-coding RNA (1968 nucleotides) under Marmota monax (woodchuck). Lineage: Eukaryota; Metazoa; Chordata; Mammalia; Rodentia; Sciuridae. The record is from RNAcentral.